UACGGAGGAUGCAAGCGUUAUCCGGAUUUAUUGGGUUUAAAGGGUGCGCAGGUUGUUUGAUAAGUCAGUGGUGAAAGUCCGUCGCUUAACGGUAGGAUUGCCAUUGAUACUGUUGGACUUGAAUAUGGAUGAGGUAGGCGGAAUGUGUAGUGUAGCGGUGAAAUGCAUAGAUAUUACACAGAACACCGAUUGCGAAGGCAGCUUACUAAUCCAUCAUUGACGCUGAGGCACGAAAGCGUGGGGAUCAAACAGGAUUA
Molecule: ribosomal RNA, 257 nt
Filed under: uncultured prokaryote
Description: partial 16S ribosomal RNA
Rfam family: Bacterial small subunit ribosomal RNA
Source: RNAcentral